CUAAUUUUGCAUUUUUUUAUUCGAUUCUAAAAAUAACCGAGUUUGAAACAAAAACGAUAAGUCCCAAAUGUUUUUUAAUCCGUUGAUUCUGCUAUUUAUUACAAUAUGCAGUUUACAACUACUCAGUCAAAUCCAACACUUUUUUAUUAAACGGUUUUAUUUAGCUCACCCCGUUUGUUUUAUUCUUUCUUGGGUCAAAUUUAGUAAUUCAAAUUUCACCCUCUUCCUGUCAACCGAUUAAUCUGAAAUUUUGUGUACACUUUGGAUUUUGGUGACAAUACAAUUAUAUUUAUUCAUUAUCAUUAUAAAUUCAAGAUGGCCGCCGCUACAAAAUGGCGGAUAAUUUAGGUUUUAUUAAUCCCAUCAAUAUGGGUAUCAAAUGAAAGGGCUCAACAAGCAGAAUACAAUAUACUAUAAAAAAAUUAAAUCUAAGAUGGCGGCCGCUACAAAAUGGCGGAUAACGUAGGUUUUAUCAAUCCCAUCAAUAUGGGUAUCAAAUGAAAGGUCUCAACAAGUAGAAUACAAUUUACUAUGCAAAAUUGAAAUCUAAGAUGGCCGCCGCUACAAAAUGGCGGAUAAUUUAGGUUUUAUCAAUCCCAUCAAUAUGGGUAUCAAAUGAAAGGUCUCAACAAGUAGAAUACAAUUUACUAUGCAAAAUUGAAAUCUAAGAUGGCCGCCGCUACAAAAUGGCGGAUAAUUUAGGUUUUAUUAAUCCCAUCAAUAUGGGUAUCAAAUGAAAGGGAUCAACAAGCAGAAUACAAUAUACUAUAAAAAAAUUAAAUCUAAGAUGGCGGCCGCUACAAAAUGGCGGAUAACGUAGGUUUUAUCAAUCCCAUCAAUAUGGGUAUCAAAUGAAAGGUCUCAACAAGUAGAAUACAAUUUACUAUGCAAAAUUGAAAUCUAAGAUGGCCGCCGCUACCAAAUGGCUGAUAUUUUUUUUAAACGGUUUUAUUUAGCUCAACCCGUUUGUUUUAUUCUUUCUUGGGUCAAAUUUAGUAAUUCAAAUUUCACCCUCUUCCUGUCAACCGAUUAAUCUGAAAUUUUGUGUACACUUUGGAUUUUGGUGACAAUACAAUUAUAUUUAUUCAUUAUCAUUAUAAAUUCAAGAUGGCCGCCGCUACAAAAUGGCGGAUAAUUUAGGUUUUAUUAAUCCCAUCAAUAUGGGUAUCAAAUGAAAGGGCUCAACAAGCAGAAUACAAUAUACUAUAAAAAAAUUAAAUCUAAGAUGGCGGCCGCUACAAAAUGGCGGAUAACGUAGGUUUUAUCAAUCCCAUCAAUAUGGGUAUCAAAUGAAAGGUCUCAACAAGUAGAAUACAAUUUACUAUGCAAAAUUGAAAUCUAAGAUGGCCGCCGCUACAAAAUGGCGGAUAAUUUAGGUUUUAUCAAUCCCAUCAAUAUGGGUAUCAAAUGAAAGGUCUCAACAAGUAGAAUACAAUUUACUAUGCAAAAUUGAAAUCUAAGAUGGCCGCCGCUACCAAAU
Molecule: long non-coding RNA, 1480 nt
Organism: Spodoptera frugiperda (fall armyworm)
Lineage: Eukaryota; Metazoa; Arthropoda; Insecta; Lepidoptera; Noctuidae
Exons: 3
Source: RefSeq, a predicted model, not a curated record